This 504-nucleotide ribosomal RNA is filed under the name uncultured bacterium. RNAcentral describes it as "bacterial LSU rRNA". The stretch from base 1 to 406 matches the Rfam family "Bacterial large subunit ribosomal RNA", at positions 890 to 1300 of the family's 2925-position model. The record is from RNAcentral.
AGUCUUGCGGAGGUAGAGCACUGAAUUUCCUAGGGGGCGUCAAAGCUUACCGAAGAAUAUCAAACUCCGAAUGCCGUAAAGAUGCUUAUCGGGAGUCAGACUACACGAGAUAAGUUGGGUGGGUCAAAAGGGAAAGAGCCCAGACCUCCGGCUAAGGUCCCAAAGUGCGUGUUAAGUGGAAAAGGAUGUGGGAUUUCAAAGACAACCAGGAUGUUGGCUCAGAAGCAGCCAUCCAUUCAAAGAGUGCGUAAUAGCUCACUGGUCGAGAGGUCCUGCGCCGAAAAUGUCCGGGGCUGAAACACGACACCGAAGCCGAGGGAUCCGAAAGGACCGGUAGAGGAGCAUUGCAUAAGGGAAGAAGCAGUACCGGAAGGAGCUGUGGACUUUAUGGAAGAGAGAAUGCCGGGGGAUAAGCUCCGUAGUCGAAGAGGGAAACAGCCCAGAUCACCAGCUAAGGCCCCUAAGCGUGUGCUAAGUGGGUCGACGCGGCCGAGUCGUAGGAGG